UAGUUACAGCCCGAUCCCCCUUAAAUGUGGCCGCCCGGUGAUAUACACCCACCAUUCCCAAGCACUUCCUCAUACGGGCUGGAGAUGCAGGAGGAAGCGACAACAACCAGGAAUGGAGGUUCCACGCCCAGUGCCUUGUCGGCCAAGCAAAUUAGCGGCAACGGAUGAGAUGUGAUUCUGGAAUUCCUACAUUGUUGCCAGCCUGUAAGAAGAUGAUCGCCCCCCCCCCCCCACACACACACACGCUCGACGUUACUUUAUCGUUUAAUUUCAAAGAUUUUAUGUACUGUUGGUAUGAUAAUUUUGGGCUGUAUGCAGAUAUGUACUACAGCCAAUGAUAAUUUGAUCCAUGUAUUUAUGGAGCCUGAAGAAAACAGGCAUCGAAUAACUAUUUUUCUAGUCGCAUUUUUAAAUUUUACAUGUUGAACUUAUCAGGUGUAUUAUUACUAAAAUGUAUUGUUUUUAUCGAUCAUAUAUAUCAGCAUAUUUUUCUGUAUUUAAAUAUCAAAAAGCUUCGUUAUACGGAGCUUUAGACAAGUACAAAUAUAUUCAUUGCAUUCUUAUUUGAUAAUAAAGUUUUAUAAACUAUA
This is a long non-coding RNA of Penaeus monodon (black tiger shrimp), 590 nucleotides long. RefSeq lists it as uncharacterized. NCBI's taxonomy places the organism in Eukaryota, Metazoa, Arthropoda, Malacostraca, Decapoda, Penaeidae. The record is from RefSeq and is a predicted model, not a curated record. The transcript has 2 exons.